Molecule: ribosomal RNA, 533 nt
Filed under: Scylla tranquebarica (purple mud crab)
Lineage: Eukaryota; Metazoa; Arthropoda; Malacostraca; Decapoda; Portunidae
Description: partial 16S ribosomal RNA
Rfam family: Archaeal large subunit ribosomal RNA (bases 1-178)
Source: RNAcentral
CGGUAAUUAUAGUCUAGCCUGCUCACUGACAAAAGUGUUAAAUAGCCGCGGUAUUUUGACCGUGCAAAGGUAGCAUAAUCAUUAGUUUUUUAAUUGGAAACUUGUAUGAAUGGUUGGACAAAGAAAAGACUGUCUCUUUUAUUAAAAUUGAAAUUAACUUCUAAGUGAAAAGGCUUAGAUUUUCUAGAGGGACGAUAAGACCCUAUAAAGCUUCAUAAGUUAAAUAAAUUAGAUGGAUUUUUAGAAUAAAAGUAAAUUUAGUAAGCUUAUUUAGUUGGGGCGACAAGGGUAUAAAAUUAAAUAACUGCUAUUAAGGUUAGACAAUUAUAUUUGGGUUGGGAUUGUAUUGGAUCCUCGCUAUGGAAUAAAAGAUUUAAUUUACUUUUAGGGGAUAACCAGCGUAAUUUCCUUUAAAGAAGUUCUUAUCAAAGGAGAAGUUUGGCAACCUCCAAUGUUAAAUAAAAUGUCUUUAUAGUGCAAAGCAUAAAAAAGGGCUGUUCACCUUUAUUUUUACCUGACCGAGUCCGACCGGG